ACGAGUUAGGGUCUUCUAGGCCCAAUCUCCAACCCUCUGUCAAAUCACUAUGUUGCUUUGGCGAGCCUGUCUAUUUCAGUAGACCGCCAGAUUUUGGUGCGAGUGCUCGCCAAUAGCCUUCUCAAAUUCUAUAUAAUAUUGUCGUCUGAUAUGUAAUAUUUAAUUAUAUA
Molecule: unclassified non-coding RNA, 170 nt
Filed under: uncultured fungus
Lineage: Eukaryota; Fungi
Description: sequence contains ITS1, 5.8S rRNA gene
Source: RNAcentral